GCAGGAUCAACCAGGUAGCAUUCUUCUCGGACAUCGGCACGCACGGCUCGGGGCCGGAACGAGACCGAAGUCGUUCGAAAUUGGCUUUAAAGCCUUUUUGGGGACAAUAGAACUCAACGACUUCGUGCCCUCAUCGUUUCCUGCAUCCCAGCGCCCGAAGGGGAAAUUUCUGGCCCCGAAACCGACCCGAAAUGUGUGAAACGGGGGACCCGAAACCCCGUUUCGAGUUUCCCCCGCGCCCGCCCCGAUUUAACGAGCAGCCUAAGGCGAACAGCUAGAGAUUGACAACCAAUUUCCUUCACGUAGGUACGAAACCCCGGAAACCAAGGAACGGUCAAGGUAAAAUUGUGCCAACAAUGAAGAGGAUAGCAAGGUAGGACGUCGCAGCUCAAGGCAGGGAUCCAACCAAACCAUGCUAAC
Molecule: unclassified non-coding RNA, 420 nt
Filed under: Mitracarpus portoricensis
Lineage: Eukaryota; Viridiplantae; Streptophyta; Magnoliopsida; Gentianales; Rubiaceae
Description: partial external transcribed spacer
Source: RNAcentral